GCUGCUCCCUGCCUGGGGCCUAGCCCGAUGUAAAAGCCCAUUGGCUGGAAUUGCUUAAAUGUCCCACACAAAUAUAAACACCUCCACAGUGUUGAGAAGAUGAAAGGAACAGCUUAUUGAUAUUGUAUAUGCUAACGUUUGGAUGUGGGACAGGAAAGACAGCAUUCAACUGCUGGUAUGCAAUGCUGAAGCUGGGCUGCAUGAAGAGGUUUUCAUUUACUGAUGUUGGAUGUGUGCCCAGAUUGCCAUAGUAGAAUUUAGGAAGAAACACAGUAAGGAGAAGAACCACAGAAUGGUUUUGGGGAACAUCUACGUGGGUAGAAGAACAAAUACAUCUGAAGACUGUGUUUCCAGAAAGGGAAGGACUAACCACUGGGGAACAGUUAUGAGCCCCCCAGAUCCCAACUGGUCGUCUACUUGAAGAAUGCAAGCCCCUUAAGAGCAAAGAUAGGUGUUCUGUCUUUGAUGUAGAAUAUCAGCAAUGACAAGAUUUUGAUCUCCUUGAAGCUGAUGUAUUUCAUCCUCCCCCUCCAUGCCUGGUCCAUUGGCCGGCACAUAGUAAGUGCUCAGUAAAUGUUUGAUGAAUACAAAGUAGUCUAUGGCAAUGGCCACAAGAUCAUCACAAUCAAAACACUGAAGACACUCACCUUCAUCUCUUGCCACGAAAGCUGGAGAGGUCCAGAAAUACUACUCCUGAUUUGCAUUAUCAGGGAACAUUUUAUGAAAAACAUGGCACUGGAGGAGAUUCUUAAAUGACUGAGUAAGGUACUCAAUCUCACUGAGUCUCAGCUUCUUUAAUCAGCCUUUUUUAGCCCUCUCUCCUCAUUGUAAAAUUCAGGAAACAUGCAUUUCUUUACUGAGUAUGCGCCUCCUCAGAUUUACAGAAAUAACCCAAGCACUGAUUCUGAAGAGGAAAUUCACUCCCAGUGCACAUGUCCUGGGAAAUGGAGAGCUGUAUGACAGAGAUACACAUCAUGCAUCCAAAGAUAACUUCGUAAUAUGGUUUCUGGGUUGUUAACAUUGGAGGAGACCAUCGCCUUUUAGAGGAAAGUUACAGUAAAUGUCACCAUAUGAAUAAACAUUAUUGUGACAUGCUUAAGCCUGGUUUUACUUGUUAUGAUUAUGUUGCCUGACUCUUACCACCAGAAGUGCCUCCCUCAUAUUUUCCUUCACGCUAACAUUUACGAUGAAGGGGCAGCAUUAACUUUUGUUCACAUGGGCCAAAAUGAGCCCCAUUACACCCAGCAGUAUUUCAACAGUCACAGACCAGUGAGAGACCAGCGUAAACCCAGCUUGCUCCGGACCUCAGCACGUUCCACCAGCUUCACCCCAGCCAACAGAACUGCCACUUGAAAUCCAUCUGCAACAUUUCAUGGACCUCAAUUCUGAUGCAGCGGGUAGUUGUUGAGCUCUAGCUGAGCAGAAAGGACCAGAGGUUCUAAAGGGAAACAUUCUUCACUGCUGCUGCACAUUCCCAAAGACAUGAAACACCUAAGACAGCACCGUGAGGCACAUUUUUCAGUGCAGAAGCAGCAGAAAACAGAACAUGACUCCCCACCCCUUUUUUAUAUUCCAAUGAGAUUUGCUAGUUUAACCAGGGCUGCAGUACAAAAGCACUUGUGGUUCAUGUUAUAUUAAUAGUGUGGCCUGAUUAUCAAAAACCAUUACUCUUGGUUAUCUAGCAGCGGCUGUACCGAGCUGCUAUAAGUCAGAGUGACUACCCACACAGCGUUUGCUCCCUGCUUAUGAUAACAGUAUUCUUAACGCAGAAGUGCACUUGUAAAAUUAUUGCCUUUUAAAGAUCAGAUUUGUUAUAAAUGAGAUAUGAUCACACAAUUGCUCUUCCCUGUAUAAAAAAAAUUAAAUACAUAAAUUACACGUCAGUAUCCUCCAUUGUCAUGGCUUCACAAGGGUCAGUUUCCUUGUGGUCAAACUCGGAGGUAUAGCUUUCAAAGCAGAUGCGUUGCCGGCUGAAUCCUGGCCAGAGGCACAAGCAGUGGCUUUUCUUCUCCUGUUCUUUGAUGUUGUCUUCUGUAGUACUGAUUGCAGGCCCUGUGGAUCCAACCCUUUUCUAUGCUGGUUGAGGGGUGCUUUGCUUAGUUUAGUUCAGCUUGUUAAAAGCAGUAAUGAUAAUGGAUCGGAAGCCAUACCAUUUCCUCAUAGAUUCAAGUCAUUGUUUCCGACUCUUUGCAGAACUCCAUGUGGCUCAGAGUGGUUGCAUUCACAGCUCCUUCUUGCUAAUGCCACUGGUUGACUUUUUAAUUCCGCCCCCCCCCCCGCCCCCCCUGAUUAUUGUGACACUUUCACAGGCUCAGAGUUUGUAUGGAAGAAGAGACAAAGACAGGAAGGAAAGCAACUCUAAUAAAGUAAAAGAACUCAGUUUUAAUGCUCACUAAUCUCCUUCUCUAGGUUAUAUGUUUCAUUAUACAUGUUACCCCAACCGGGAAUAAGAGGGAUAUGGCUUUACUUGUGAAAACGCAAGGGACUCUUACUGUGCAUCUUUCAAAUCUCCCAAGUUCCCUUGUAAACAAACAUAUUAGGGGUAAAUAUACAGGACUCUCUCUCCCCUUAUGCUUUUCCUGUUUGAACAGCAUUUUA
Balaenoptera ricei (Rice's whale) is the source of this 2598-nucleotide long non-coding RNA. RefSeq lists it as uncharacterized. NCBI's taxonomy places the organism in Eukaryota, Metazoa, Chordata, Mammalia, Artiodactyla, Balaenopteridae. The record is from RefSeq and is a predicted model, not a curated record. The transcript is spliced from 3 exons.